Molecule: long non-coding RNA, 11980 nt
Organism: Peromyscus californicus insignis
Lineage: Eukaryota; Metazoa; Chordata; Mammalia; Rodentia; Cricetidae
Exons: 7
Source: RefSeq, a predicted model, not a curated record
GCGUUUCCGGGAGUUCGGGGGAAAGAUGCCGAGGUUUGAGCCGCAGGAUUCCCUGUUAGUUGUGGUGAGGUAGUUUCUGGUCACAGGAGUAUUUUCCUUCUUUCAUUUGUGCUACAUCACGGUCUUCAGACCAAAACCACAGCAAAACAGCCGUCGCUCUCCAAAUCCCUCAGACACAAACUGUUCACCUCUGUUUACAACUACAUGCAGACCAGCGGGGAUGCGUUUGCUCCUGGGUACACUCCUGAGCGCGAGGGAGGAGUGUCUGGUCUGCAUUCUCGCUCAUCCCUCCAACUCAUCCCAGAGACCUGCUCACACGAGCUACGCCCGCUUAGGCGGCCAGACUGGACCUACAGUUCUCUCAUUGGUCCCCACUUUACUGACCAUAUCUUUGCAAGACAGCCAGAAAACCCCCUAUCCGCUUGUAGUGUUUUCUUUCUUCCUUUUUUUUUUUUUCUAAUACAACUUUUAGUAUCACUGUCUGAUAGUUGAUUUCUCUUAUCUGUUUUAAAAAAUAGCAUGGUGGCUAACGCUUUUAAUCCCGGCACCAGAGGCGGGACAGAGGCUGGUGGAUCUCUGAAUUCAAGGCCACCCUAGUUUAAAUAGAUAGUUCCAGGCUAGCCAGGGCAACAUAGUGAGACCCUGUCUCAAAAAUGAAUAGCUUUGUCCUUAUAAAGGGUGUACAGUAAACUACUAUUUAAAGUGGACACAAUUUACUAUCACGUUUGCACCCUUAAACCAUCAGUACAAUCAAGAUGGAAACGCCACUUCAAAAAAGUUCCUUAUUCUUUAUAAUCCUCCUUUUCUGUCACUCACCAGACCCCUCUGCCCAGACACCUUUCUGUUACUAGAAAUUAGUUUGCAUUUCCUUAACUUUUAUUUAAAUUGAAUCAUAGUUUUUGGUCUGGUUCUUCUAUAGAUUAUUUUGAGAUUCCUCUGUUGUGUUAUACAUAAUUUCCUUUGUUUGACUUUCCCAGUUUGUUCAUUCACUUAUUGGUAGACUUAUGGAACAUUCCAGUUUUGGAGUAAUGCAAAUAAAGCUGCUAUAGGCAUUAACUUACAAGUCUUUGUAUGCUUGUAUUUUUUUUUAAGAGAUUGACAUUUAGUUUUUAUUUCUGUCAGUGAAUCUAGUAAAGGCAUUUCUUUUUUUUUUUAAAUUUUAUAAACAUUAUUAAACAGCUUGUAAAUAAAUUAAAAAUCACACACCAAAGUUAACCAGACCCCAAAUCUGUACAACUCAAUGAACCUUAUACAAUUAGAAUAAACACUCAAGAGGCUGGAGAUACGGCUCAGUGUUUAGGAGUACUGGCUGUUCUUCCAGAGGCCCUGAGCUCAAUUCCCAGCAACCUCACGGUGGCUCACAACCAUCUGUAAUGAGAUCUGGUGCUCUCUUCUGGCCUGCAGGCAUACACGCAGACAGAGCACCUUUAUACAUAAUAAAUAAAUAGAUCUUAAAAAAAAAAAAAGAAUAGGCAUUCAGAACAGAAGCUGUGGAGCUUCACAUUAAAUCUUACACUUUCAGUACCUAAUGUAUUUUAAUGCACUUAUCAACCACCCAGCAACAACAACAAAAACAAAAAGUCCUUGACAGAAUUAGAAUAGAUUUUUUUCAUUGUAUCUGGAUUUGGUUUUCAAAAAUACUUCAGUUAAAUCAACUGAUGCUGUAAUUGGAAACUAUCAGACUUACUUGAGAAGGCAUUAGUUAAUUUUUCUGCUGCCCUUACCCUGUCUUCUGCCCUGGCCCACGGGCUUCAUAUGGGGGCGGGGGAACAGGAAUACAAACAGGGCAAUAAGAAAAUGAAUGAAGCCAUUGGCAUUUAGCAUACAAGAGCAAAACAGCAUUAGGAGAGAAGUGAUUUCAAUAUGCUGCUACUUCUGUCUUGCUAAUGCAACACAAGACCCCUUUCUUCAUAAUUUUUUACUGAAAAAAGUUUCACACAAUAUAUUCUGACCAUGGUUUCCCUUCCCCUGAAUCCUCUCAGAUCCUUCCCACUUACUCACCCAUCUGACACCCAGUCCUUUCUCUUAUGAGAAAGCAAACAGAAAACCCAAACAAAUCAGAAUUAACAAGAAACAUACACACAAACAAACCCCACAAAACCACAAAAAAUCAGAAACCACAACAUACAAGCAAAAGACCAGUAAGACAAAAACAAAACAAAAAACCCCAAACAAAACAAUAUGAUACAAAAGGUCUAUAAAAAUGCCAUUGAGUUGGUUUUAGUGUUGCCCAUCUACACCGGGCAUGGGGCCUGCCCUUCAGUGAAGUUAAUAUACCCAAUGGAACUCCAUUGGAGAAAACGGCUUUUUCCUUUGCUAGAGAAUGUCAGUUGCAGAGAGUUUCUUGGUUAGGGCUGAGAGCUCAUGUCUGCUUCCCCCUCUCAGUGCUGGGACCCCCAUCUGUUUUGAACCUGUGCAGGCCCUGUUCAUGUUGCCACAAUCUAUGUGAGUUCAUGUGUGCAUCAGUCCUUUUGUAUCUGGAAGACACUUAGUGUCAUUCAUCCCAUUUCACAAUCUUUACGUUCCCUCUUCCACAUACUCCCUGAUCUCUGAGCGGAAGGGUUUGAUGAAGACAUCCCAUUUAGGACUGAGUGUUCCGAAGUGUCUCACUGCCUGCGCAUUGGCCAGUGUGGUUCUCUGUGUUAGUUCUCCGAUGAUGGCUGAGCAAGGCACUGAUCUAUGGGUAGGGCAGAAGGUCAUUAGGAGUCAUAUUGCUACAUUUCUUUAGCAGAACAAUAAUACUUGGUUUUCUCCUGUCUAGCUAGUCUCAGGUUCUUAGCCAUAGGCAUUGUGGUAUGGGCCUUAAGUUCAAUCAGAGAGUGGUUUGUUACCCCUAAAACAUUUAUGCCACUAUUAUACCACAAUAUAUCAUGGGAGCAGGGCACCACUGUAGAUUUCAGGGUUUGCGGCUAGGUUGGUGGUUGCCUUUGUACUCUGGUAGUGUGCAGGGUACAUUUCAGUACUAGGAACACUAGUCAAUGGGGUAAAGGCACCAGCUCGACUUCUCUGUGUUCAAUGACGUAUGUAAAUGUUGUCUUCAGCAAUAGGAACUUAUCAUCAAUUUGUGGAGAGCAACAAAUAGCCUUGGAAAUAGCCUGAGAUGUUUGGAGGUUUCCAUGGGGUCUCGUUGGCUAACAACUCAACUAUAUGUAACCCAUAUUUUACUUGGUGGGAAAAGAUGUCUAGUUGGGGCCUUGUCUUCCCCAUUAUUUGGUGACUGUUUAAAUCUCUUAUAUAUGUAUAUAGUUUAGGAAGCUUCUAUAGUAGUAGGUAUCUAUAUGACCCCUCAAAUGGCCCUCAAGUGUUAGUUGUCCCUCUCCAUAUUCCUUCUCUUACCCCUUUUACCCAUCCUACUCUUCAUUUAAUCCUCCCACUCCAGCAUUUCCCAUGUCUCUCCAUAAGUAUAUAUGUUGUGGGAUAUUUGUACACUGUGUGACGAUGUAUUUGCUGUGAUUGGUGUACUAAAAAGCUAAAUGACCAAUAGCUAAGCGAGAGAUAUAGGCAGGGUUUCUGGAGAAAGAAAGGAAGAGGAGAUGAAUCCAGGCACACGAGAGAUGCCAGGAGACAGGGAAGAAGCAGAAUGGGCAGUAUGUGACAGAAUGUAGAUUAAUAGAAAUGGGUUAAUUUAUGUUAUAAGAGCUAGUUCAAAGCAAGCCUAAGCUAAGGCCAAGCUUUUAUAAUUAAUAAUACAACUCUGUGUUGUUAUUUGGGAGCUGGCUGGUGGGGCAGAGAAAGACUUAUUACAAUAUAUUCUAUUUUCUCUUCCUUGAGGGAUCUUCCCUCUCCUCUAGUCCCUUACUUGACACCUAACCUCUGUGGUUAUAUGGGUUAUAGCACACCUAUCAAAUGCUUAAAAGCUACAGUAUGAAUGUAUGUUUUAUUUUACUUUAUUGAGGCAGGGUCUCAUGUAGCCCAGGCAAGCCUCCAGCCUCCAUCUCUGCCUUCCAAGUGUUAAGAUUACAGGUGCAUAUCAUGCUCUGCUGGAUGUGUUUGUUUUAAGAUUUAGUUUUAUUAUUUUAAAUUAUGUGUAUCAGUAUGUAUGAUUAUGGCUAGAGGUGUAUGUAAUCCUUCUGCAUCUGGACUUACAGGUGGCAGUUAGUCACCUGAUGUGGGUACUGGGAAUUGAAAUUGGAUGCUCUGCAAGAUCAGUCUCCAGACUAGUUUUAUGUUAACUUGACACAAGGUAGAGUUCUCUGAAAGGAGGGAAUCUCAACUGAGAGACUGCCUCCGUAAGACCCUGCUGUAGGGCAUUUUCUUACUUAAUGAUUGAUGGGGGAGGGCCUAGCCCAUUGUGAGUGGUGCUAUCCUGGGCCAGUGGGCGUGGCUUCUAUAAGGAAUCAGGCUGAGCAAGCCAUGAGGAGCAAGCCAGUAAGCAGCACCCCUCCAUGGCCUCUGCAUCAGCUCCUGUCUCCAGCUUCCUGCCCUGUUUGAGUUCCUGUCCUGACUUCCUUCAAUGAUUGAUUACAACAUGGAAGGUUGCUCCCCUCUGAAGAUUGGAGGAAUGUUUAUUAACGUUUGAUCAGGAUGUAGCUCUCAGCUCUUUUUCUAGCACCAUGCCUGCCUGCUGCCAUGCUCCCUGCCAUGAUAAUGGACUGAGCCUCUGAAACUAUCCCUCUUUUCCUGGAGAAGAACAGGAAACCUUUGAUUUAGGACUCACAGAAAUCCUGACUUAACUUGAUCAUAUCUGCAAAAAUUCUGUCUCCAAAUGAAAGUUUGACGUUCUUGACUUACGUGGAGUUUUUGGAACACCAUUCAGUCCAGACACUUGACACAGUCCCAGGGUCCACGUGAGGAACCCCACUGAAGUGGCAGAGCUUACUAAAAACACAGGUUCUGAACAUGUGCCCUGACUCUAGGAAAGACCACCCGGAGAUGUAACCAGCAUUCACAAUGUGAUACAUGCAUUCAGAGACAAGACCAACAUCUGCUACUGAACACACAAAAGACCACCCAGGGGUACGACUUGCAUCUUGGGAGCCUGUGAACAGAACAUCCAGAAACGGUCCUGGAACCAGUACCCGGGCAAGGGGCUGUAUCCAGACUGCAUCGCCACGCACUUCCUCUUUCUUUACGGUCAAGCCAUAAGAUGAAAUUGAGAACCUGCUGGUGGCCAGAUUUCCUAUGUAUAUACUAGGGAAGAGGAAGAAGCUGAAACAGAGGGAAAACCAAGAUGAACAAAGCAGAUGAACAGGAUGAGGGUGAGGAGAAACUUGUAAGUGGGAGAGGAGAAAGGUGAACACUCUGGGGAUUGGGUUGGAGUUGGAAGUAUGUCUGUUAGGGAUUCUUGGGGGUGAGGAACUUCUAUGUAUGUAAAUGCUGAUGUGUACAGAUGGACGUGUGUCUGAGUUUCUUUUUCAGUUUCUGUGAUGAAAUAUCUUGACCCUCCCACCCAACCCCCCCAAAAGGGGGAUAAAAUGCUUAUUUUGGCUACAGUUUAAGGUAUAGUCAUCAUGGCAGGUUAUCCACAACAAUAGGAGCUCUCUCUCUCUCUCUCUCUCUCUCUCUCUCUCUCUCUCUCUCUCUCUCUCUCUCUCUCUCUCUCCCCUCUCUGCCUAGGAAAUAGUACUACACACAGUGGACAGGGCUUCCCAUCUCAAUUAAGUCAAUCAAGCUAAUUUCUCUGAGUCAUGCUCAGAGGCUGUCUCACAGGUGAUUCUAGAUUUUUACCAGGAUGACAGUUAAUGUGAAUCAUCAAAACAUAUAUGCCAUUCUUGGGGGAAAUAACCAAAUCCAGACAGGAUGAGCCUAGAACAUGUCAUGGUAGAGAGUAACAUAAUGCUCAAAGAACUAGGGGGACAGGUCAAAAGGACACAGGGGCAACUUGAAGGGGCUCCUACUGGCCAAACUGAGAACGGCAUGAACAUUAAAAAUGAAGAAUGAAGCCGGGCGGUGGUGGCGCACGCCUUUAAUCCCAGCACUCGGGAGGCAGAGCCAGGCGGAUCUCUGUGAGUUCGAGGCCAGCCUGGGCUACCAAGUGAGUUCCAGGAGAGGCGCAAAGCUACACAGAGAAACCCUGUCUCGAAAAACCAAAUUAAAAAAAAAAUGAAGAAUGAGUAUUGGGAAGAAACUACUAAAUAGAAUAAAAAUCUCAAUCAGUCAUGGUAAACAGCUAAGCACAACCCCAUAUUUGAUAGAGGAGAAAGUGAGGUUGACCAGAAGAUUGUUGGCAACAGUAACAUCAUGAAACAGUGCUCUUCAUUUGAUUUUGGGGUGUUAUGGAUCAAAUUCAGGGUUUUUCUUAUGCUAGGUAAGCAUUCUACCAUAAGCCAUACCUCUAGUCUAUGUGUAGUUGGUAAAGCAACUGGGCUCAUUAACUUUAACUGUUGAUUGACACAACCUAGAAUCACCUGGGAAGGGAUUAUCUAGACUAGGUUGAUUUGCAUGCAUGUCUUUGGAGAACUGUCUUGCUUUUUAAUUGAUGUAGGAAUACCUAGCUCAUCGUGGGCAGUAUUAUUCUAAAGGUUACAGAGGCCUUAUGAGUCAGUUUAUGUUUGAACAACAUGGCACUGAUACAGAUAUCCAUCAUGGGCCAAAGUGAUAACCCUGGACAACACCAAAUGGUGAAUGUCUGGAGAAACCCUAAGUAGAGUGAUGUAAUCUGUUUAUAGGUUUCUUGCAGGAAACCACUUUUGUGUGGGUUUUGUAUGAGCAUGGCUUUGAAACAUGAAUGUAUAAGUAUCUCUUUGGGGUGCUGAUUUAGAUUCCUUCCAGGGGUAGACUAGCCUGGUGGUAUGGUGAUUCUAGCUUUAGUGUUUUGAGAAAUCUCUGUGCCGAUUUCCAUAGUGGCUACUCAAGUGCCCCCUCCCACCAGCAGUGUAAAAAGUUUCUUUUCCUUCACAUUCUCACCAAUACCUGUUGUCAUUUGUUUUCUUGAGGACAGUCAUUCUGAAGUGGAUGAGAUGGAAUCUCAGUAUAGUUGGAGUAUGCAUUUCUUUGGAGGCUAAGGUGGAACAUUUUUUUCAAAUAUUAUUUCUUGGCUACUUCCAUUUCUCUUUUUGAGUACUGUUGAUUAUUUGAUUAGUUAUUCAUAGGUUUAUUUGCUUGUGUGCAUGUGUCUGUGUGCUGUAUCUCUGUGUGUGAUUGUACAUGUCUAUGUAUGGAUGUGUGGAAACCACACUAAACAUGUAUCAGCCAGUGUCUCUCACUGAUCAGUUGGCUAAACUGGCUGUCCGUUGUGCCCACAGUACCCUUCUGUCUCCACCAGUCAGAGCUGAGGUCAAGGAAUGCACCCUCACACCCAUCUUUUCCUUUCCUUUCUUUCCUUUCCUUUUCUUUUCUUUUCUUUUUUUUCUUUUCUUUUCUUUUCAUAACACAAGGCUGGGGUAGGGAUCUGAAGUUAGGGCCUCAUGCUUGUACAGCAGACACCUCGCCCACUGAGGCAUGUCCCCAUCUCCAGCUUUUUGAUUUCUAGUCAUCUGAGUUCUUUGUAGAUUCGAUAUACUAACCUCUUGUCAGAUGUGUGGUUGGGUUCUGCAGCUUGUGUAUUCAUCGUGCUGUUUGUUUCAUUUACUAUGUAGAAAAGUUCUUUUUUUUUUUUUAAUUUUCUACAAUCCUAUUUGUCAGUUCUUGCAAUUAUUUCCUAAGCAUUUGGAGUCCUUUUCAGGAAGUCAUCGCCUACACCUGUUUCUUGAGGUGCUUUCCCUGUCUUUCUCCACCACAUCAGAGUCUCAGAUGACAUGACUAUAUUUGAUCCAUUUGAAUUGAUUGUUAUGCAUGGUAGGAGGUAGGGGUCUAACAUUACUCUUCUAAAUGUCUUUUUCUUUCUUGAUUGUCAUGGCUAUGAGGUAGUAUAUUGAGUAAUCAUGGACACCAUUACCUCAUUCCUGAUUUUAGAGGUAAUAGCUUGAGUUUUUUUUCCCAUUUAGUUUAAUCUAGACAUUGGUUUGUUGUACAUAGCCUUUAUUUUAUUUUAUUGGGUUUUUUCUUUUGUACAUAGCCUUUAUUAUGUGCCUUCUAUUCCUAAUUUCCUCAGAGAUUUUAUCACAAAGGCCCUUGCACUGACAUGAUCAUGUGAUUUCUGUACCCAAUUCUCUUAACUUGUUGCAUUAUACUUAUUGAUUAUAUAUACUUAUAUUAUACUUACUUAUUAUACAUAUGUGGAACUAUUACUGGAAUGAGAUUAGCUUGAUCAUGAUAGAUACUCUUUUUAAUGUGUUGUUAAAUUUGAUUUGCAAUUAUUUUUAUUGAGAACUAUUGUAUUUGUGUUUAUUGUUUUUUGUUGUUGUUGUAACCGUAUCUGGUUUUGGUGUUGGGGGAACACUGGUAUCAUGUAAUGAAUCUUGUACGCUUCCUUCUCUUUAUACUUUAUGGACUAUGUUGAGAGAAGCAUUGUUAGCUUUUCUUCAAAGGGCCAGUAGAAUCGAACAGUGACUCUGCCCACUUCUGGGCUUUUCCUUGUUGGGAGACUGCUUCAGCCUUGUUGCUCUUUAUAAAUCUGCUUAAGUUGUUUAUGUUCUUGAUUUAAUUUUGUAGGGUCAUAUUUGUCUCUGGUUGUUUUCUAGACUUUUCAGCUUUGUAGAAUAUAUGUUUUUAAACUGCUCCUCAGUGACCUUCUGGAUGUCACUAGUAUAUGCUCUCAUAGCCGCUUUCAUCUCUAAUUUUAUUUAUUUAGAUAUCUCCCUUUUUGUGGUUAGUUUGGCUACAGUCUUAUCAAUCUUGUCUUUUCUAUGAGCCAACUCUUGGCUUCAUUGAUUCUUUGUAUUGUCCUUAGUCUCCAUGUCAUUAAUUUCUGCUUUGCUCCUUAAGAUUUCUUUCCAUCUACUGCUGGGGUUGGCUACUUCUUGUUCUUCUAAGACUUGGACUGGAUGGUGAAAUUAUUCCCUUGACUUCUUUGUUGAACGUUAUGUGUAAUAUAUCCAUGCGUGUGCACACACACGUGAGGGUAUAUGUGCAGAGACCAGAUGUCAACAUUGGGGGUCUUUUUCUGUUGCUCUCCAUCUUAUUUUUCCCGAGAUUAGUUCUCUCAGUGAUUUCAUUGUGUUGGCUAGACUGGAUGGCCAUCAAACUGAGCAGACUGUGCCUGCCUUCACCUCCUUAGCACAGGGCUUUCUUUACUGGGGAGUGCUUCUGUAUCCAGGUUUUAUGUGCAUGCUGGGGCAUCUGAACUUGGGACCUCGUGCUUACAAAGCAAACACUUUAUCCACUAAACUCUAUUCCCAGUACUCUUUUUCAUCUUUUAAUAUAAUCAUUCAUAGCUGUAAACUUGACUCUCAGAACUGCCUUUGCUGUAUCUCAGAGAUUCUGAUAUACUGUGCCUUCAUUUCCGUUUUAUUGUAGGCACUUUUCUCUCCAGUUUCUUCAUGGUCAUUCAAUAAUGUUUUUAUCUCAGUAUGUUUGUGUAGUUUCUUCCUGUACUGAUUAUUACUUUUACUCCGCUGCGAUCUGAUGACAUACAAGAGAGUAUUUUGAUUCUUUUGUAUUUGUUAAGACUCGCUUUAUGGCCUUAAGUGGAUAUCUGUUUUAGAGAAAGUUCAAUAGGGUGCUGAGAAAAAUGUGUAUUCCACAGCAUUUGAAGGGAAUACUCUACAGAUACCUGUCAAACUGAUUGGAUCUGUGCCAUUUAAUUCUGAAAUUUCUUUGUAGAGGUCUGAUUUGUAUGAUCUGCUUAUUUAUGAUAUUAGGGUAAUGUAGUCUCUAUAUUAUAUCAGGACCUGUCUGUCUUGUUAUUUCCCCAGCUCCAGAAUGUAUAAAUGAGACAGAAAUAUUUAGAAGUAGGCAGAUUUCCCACAUUGGUUGCCUGACCAAUGGAGUGAGGACUAUUAUGGUUGGAAAGGCCAAGUGGAAGCCACUGGAGUUAAAGGAUUAGAGAUGUUAGUGCCAUGGUCAAGGACUUAAAAGAUUAGGGGUGGUGGUUCCUACCACAUCUCUAUUUAACUCCCUAUUUAGGCUGUGCAGAAGAUGGAUAAAUGAAGAAUGACACCGUUUAUUGCAAGCUUAAUUAAAUAGUGACUUCAGUUGCAGCUGCGAUACCAGACAUGGUUUCCUAGAUAGACUAAUGCACCUCCCAGGACCUGGUAUAUAGCUACUGAUUUUGCGAAUCCUUUUUCUCCUCCAUGUCUGCCAAUAAGAACCACCAAAAGCAAUUUUCUUUGGGCUUGCAAGGCCAGAAGGACAUCUUUACAGUUCUGUCCAAAGGGUAUGUAAAUUCUCCAGUCCUGUGCUGUAACAUAGUUCAGAGAGAUCUUGAUCACCUUUCUUUCACAAAGUAUCACACUGGUCCAUUACAUUGAUGACAUUAUGCUCAUUUGGCCAAGUGAGCAGGAGGUAGUAAGCACUCUGGACUUGUUGGUAAAACAUAUAUGCAUUACAGGAUGGGAAUGUCUUAUUAAAUAAAAACCCAGAGUCAGAGAUUAGGGUGAAAGCUGAAAGAUCAGAGAAGCAGAGCAGCCAGCCACUGGAAACUUCUUACCUCUACAAAAUCUCAGACAAAUGAAUGAGAUACUGUCUCUACAAAUCCUCAGACUGAAUGGGCUGAGAUCCUGUCUCUACCUGCCUUAUAUUCCUGUCUCCACCUCCCUAGUGCUGGUAUUAAAGGCAUGAGUCUCCUGGGUGCUGGGAUUAAAGGUGUGUGCCACCACUGCUUGGCAUUGUUUCUCUUUUAGACUGGUUCAAUCUUGUGUAGCCCAGGGUGGCCUUGAACUCCUGAUCUUCCUGCUUCCUCCUCCCCCCAAGUGGUGAAAUUAAAGGUGUGUGCCACUACUUCCUUGUCUCUAUGGUUAACUAGUGGCUAGUUCCACCCUCUGAUCUCUAGGCAAGCUUUAUUUGUCAAAACACAAACAAAAUAUCAUACCACACUCCAUGACUAGGGCAACAACAGGAUAACCAAGAGAAGUUUCAAUGAGGGUCCAGUAUUGAUGGUGUCCCAGAAGCCAGAGGCCUUGACCUGGCCAACAACUCAUUGCAAUGAACAUUUGCAAGUAAAGCUAUGUGGACAAAAGGGUCUACUGUGUGCCACAUGAGACUCCCAAGCCACUCUGACGAGUAUGUGACGGGAAGGUGGGAAAGUUGAAGGAGUGAGAUUUUUUUGUUUUUUGUUUGUUUGUUUGUUUUUCUUUUUUAUUAUUUCUCUUUUUUUAAAAAAAAGUUCUUCUAGGAGAGGGGUAUCUUAGGGUUUCUAUUGUUGUGAAGGGACACCAUGACCAUGGCUACUCUUUUAAAGAGAACAUUUAAUUGGGGUGGCUCGCUUACAGUUUCAGAGGUUCAAUCCAUUAUCAUCAUGGUGGGGAGCAUGGCAGCAUGCAGGCAGAUGUGGUGCUGGAGGAAUAGCCGAGAGUCCUACAUCUUUUAGGCAGCAAGAAGUUGACUGUGACAUUGAGCAGUAUCCUGAGCAUACACGAGACUUCAAAGCCACAGUGACACACUUCGUCCAACAAGGCCAUAUCCACUCCAACAAAGCCACACCUCCUAAUAGUGCCACUCUCUAUGAGAUUAUGGGGUCCAAUUACAUUCACACUAUCACAGUGAGGGAGGCUACAAGGGUAGAGGGUGGUCAUGGAAAGACUGGGAAAUGAGUGGGGUUGGGGUACAUGAUGUGAAAUUCCUAAAGAAUCAAUAAAUAUGUUAAUAUAAAAAGAAAUGAAGAAUGUGAAUAAUAUUUGUGUAUAAUGACAGCAUUCAAGAUUUCAAGUAAAGGUAUUAGAAAAUCCACAGUUAUGCCACCAUUAGUGUGGCAGCUUUCCUGAUGAAGUAAUUGGUGAUGUUAAUGAAUAUUAAUUUGGGGUAAGGAAAUGUGUCAACAUUUAGAAAAUCUUCAGAAAUCCCUCCAGUACUUUGUAAGAGUCCAGUGUAUUACUUUAGAAUUUAUGCUUGCUAAAAAAUCCAUUCAUUCAAAGUGAAAAAUAGGUCAAUAUAUUUUAAUGGGCUGGAAUUGAUUGAUAUGGUUUCAGAUUCUACAUUACAACUUCCCCUUAAGACACUAUGGCUUGUCAAGUUUGGGUAUACUAUAAAGAAUAAUGCUCAAACAUCACAUGAAAGGUAUUAA